UGAAAUCCGAGGACGAGUGAGGA
This 23-nucleotide unclassified non-coding RNA is filed under the name Mus musculus (house mouse). Its description in RNAcentral is "oocyte_clustered_small_RNA12073". Lineage: Eukaryota; Metazoa; Chordata; Mammalia; Rodentia; Muridae. The record is from RNAcentral.